GGCCAGGUAGCUCAGUGGUAGAGCACUGGUCUGAAAAACCAGGUGUCGACAGUUCGAUCCUGUCCCUGGCCACCA
RNAcentral lists this transfer RNA (75 nucleotides) under Elusimicrobiota bacterium. RNAcentral's name for it is "Elusimicrobia bacterium (groundwater metagenome) tRNA-Phe". It matches the Rfam family "tRNA". Rfam says of the family: Transfer RNA (tRNA) molecules are approximately 80 nucleotides in length. Lineage: Bacteria; Pseudomonadati; Elusimicrobiota. The record is from RNAcentral.